UAAUACGGAGGUGGCGAGCGUUACUCGGAUUUACUGGGUGUAAAGGGCAGGUAGGCGUCUCGAUAAGUUCUUGGUGAAAUCCUUCUGCUUAACAGAAGAAGUGCCUGGAAAACUAUCGAGAUUGAGACUAGGAGAGGAGAGUGGAAUUCCCGGUGUAAGGGUGAAAUCUGUAGAUAUCGGGAGGAACACCAGUAGCGAAGGCGGCUCUCUGGCCUAGAACUGACGCUGAGCUGCGAAAGCUAGGGGAGCAAACAGGAUUAGAUACCCUGGUAGUCCUAGCCAUAAACGAUGAGCACUAGGUGUUGGCUCUGAAUAAGGGUCAGUGCCGUAAGAUAACUCGUUAAGUGCUCCACCUGGGGACUACGGCCGCAAGGCUA
RNAcentral lists this ribosomal RNA (377 nucleotides) under uncultured bacterium. RNAcentral's name for it is "bacterial SSU rRNA". It matches the Rfam family "Bacterial small subunit ribosomal RNA", at positions 521 to 896 of the family's 1533-position model. The record is from RNAcentral.